AUUUUCUUUUAGUGAUUCAUCCAUUGUUAAUUAAGAGGAAAACGGUAAAGGAAAAGAGAGAACGUACCUGGUGACGAGAUUUGGGCCCUCUCUGCCAUCAUCGGAGAACGGGCUUGAAUCGGAAACCAUUCGAAUACCCUCCGAACACAAAACGGCGCAGAGAACAUUGGUUCCCCUUUAGGUUUUCAAAGUAACAGAUUUU
RNAcentral lists this long non-coding RNA (202 nucleotides) under Gossypium raimondii (Peruvian cotton). RNAcentral's name for it is "long non-coding RNA (GRAI_LNC001181)". The record is from RNAcentral. Lineage: Eukaryota; Viridiplantae; Streptophyta; Magnoliopsida; Malvales; Malvaceae.